GUGUAUAUAGUAUAAGUUUUAUAUUCAAUUUAGGUUUGAAAGAAUUGAAGUACAUAAU
RNAcentral lists this transfer RNA (58 nucleotides) under Ascaridia columbae. Its description in RNAcentral is "tRNA-Leu". The record is from RNAcentral. Lineage: Eukaryota; Metazoa; Nematoda; Chromadorea; Rhabditida; Ascaridiidae.